This is a long non-coding RNA of Carassius auratus (goldfish), 285 nucleotides long. RefSeq lists it as uncharacterized. The record is from RefSeq and is a predicted model, not a curated record. The transcript has 3 exons. Lineage: Eukaryota; Metazoa; Chordata; Actinopteri; Cypriniformes; Cyprinidae.
GCUUCAGGCCCUGUGAAUAAAACAGCGUCCCCAUGCAGUGAUGUUGGAAGAUGUGUCUAUCUGACAAGAGCAAGUGGAAGAAGGUCUUCCUGACUCCGGUGUAGUACGUGGCUGCAGCCUGGCUGUAGAGGGUGACGCUACGAGGCUGACUUCACAGACAACAUCCUCAGGACAGGGCAGUGGGUAUGUGCAUCUUCUCAAGCCAUGACGAAGAGCUGUUUCCAAAGCAGUGCUCUUCUCAGAAGAACCUGAUCAAUAAAAGACAAAGUAAAACGCACAUAUGAU